UCUCCUACGGGAGGCAGCAGUGGGGGAUAUUGCACAAUGGGGGAAACCCUGAUGCAGCGACGCCGCGUGUGGGAAGACGGUCCUCUGGAUUGUAAACCACUGUCCCCAGGUACCGUCAUCUUCGUCCCUGGGGAGGAAGCUCCGGCUAACUACGUGCCAGCAGCCGCGGUAAUACGUAGGGAGCGAGCGUUGUCCGGAAUUACUGGGCGUAAAGGGAGCGUAGGCGGGGAUGCAAGUUGGGUGUCAAAACUACCGGCUCAACUGGUAGUCGCACUCAAAACUGCAGCUCUUGAGUGAAGUAGAGG
RNAcentral lists this ribosomal RNA (305 nucleotides) under uncultured bacterium. Its description in RNAcentral is "bacterial SSU rRNA". It matches the Rfam family "Bacterial small subunit ribosomal RNA", at positions 335 to 657 of the family's 1533-position model. The record is from RNAcentral.